RNAcentral lists this unclassified non-coding RNA (670 nucleotides) under Hevea brasiliensis (rubber tree). Lineage: Eukaryota; Viridiplantae; Streptophyta; Magnoliopsida; Malpighiales; Euphorbiaceae. The record is from RNAcentral.
AUAGCUGUCAAAAGAAUGGAGGCUGGUAUUGUUAGCAACAAAGCUUUGGAUGAAUUUCGAUCUGAAAUUGAUGUCCUCUCAAAAGUCCGGCAUCGACAUUUAGUGUCUCUACUGGGAUACUCUGUUGAAGGUAGUGAAAGAAUUCUGGUUUAUGAGUACAUGCCACAAGGUGCACUUAGUAGACAUCUUUUCCGCUGGAAAAACUUCAAGUUAGAGCCUCUCUCUUGGAAGAAAAGGCUUAAUAUUGCCUUAGAUGUUGCUAGAGGUGUGGAGUAUCUACACACACUAGCACAUCAGAGCUUCAUUCAUAGAGAUCUCAAAUCCUCAAAUAUCUUGUUGGGUGAUGAUUUCCGAGCAAAAGUAUCCGACUUUGGACUUGUGAAACUCGCUCCUGAUAAAGAGAAAUCUGUUGUCACCAGGCUGGCUGGAACUUUUGGAUAUCUGGCACCUGAAUAUGCUGUUACGGGUAAAAUCACCACGAAAGCUGAUGUAUUUAGCUUUGGUGUUGUGCUAAUGGAGUUGUUAACUGGGAUGAUGGCACUUGAUGAGGAUAGACCUGAGGAAAGCCAGUACUUGGUUUCGUGGUUCUGGAACGCCAAAUCCUCUAAAGAGAAGCUUAUGACAGUCAUUGAUCCAACUCUAGACGUGAAAGAUGAGAUAACCGAGAGCA